Molecule: long non-coding RNA, 1100 nt
Filed under: Malus domestica (apple)
Lineage: Eukaryota; Viridiplantae; Streptophyta; Magnoliopsida; Rosales; Rosaceae
Description: long non-coding RNA (MDOM_LNC008147)
Source: RNAcentral
AACCAAUUCACAAAUACAUUUCUCUACUCCCAAAUUGGAAGAGAAUCCCCCAAAUCUUUGAAGCUUUGAAACUUUAAAGCUCUUAAGCAAAUCUUGAAGGAUCAAGAAAACCCUCUUCGUUCUUCAUCAAAUCCUCCUUCAAGAUCAAGCCCCAACGACCCUUGAAGAACUUCCACCAAUUCAAGAUCAAGUCUCGACAGCCCUUGAAGAAAGUGUUCAUCGUUCAUCAUCCGUUCAUCCUAAGAUCAAGCCCCAACGGCCCUUUGGAUCAACAACAUCAACAAAUCCACACAACUGUUCAUCCUAAGAUCAAGCCCCGACGACCAUUUGGAUCAAUAAUAUCAACAAAUCUACACAACAUUUCUUUAAGAUCAAACUUCGACGGCCCUUGAAGAAGCUCCCAACCGUUCAUCCAAAAUCAAGCCUCAACGGCCCUUGGAUCAACAACAUCCAUAAAUCAACACCUUACGGAGAUCAAAUCAGAGGAUCAAAUUAGAGAUCAUAACCCUAAAAAUAAAAAAAUCACAAAAUAUUAUUUUGUACACGUUGUUCUUGUCUCUUUCGUUUCAGGAAAAUUUCGUGUUCACAACUAUUUAUGUUUAAUUUUAAAUAAAAAAUUCAAAAUGAUUGUUGAGCACACGAUGUACGAUGAACGGUUAUGAUGUGAGGAUCUCUAGUAUUUCCACAAUUUGGAUCCAGAUAGAAUCCAAAUCUCCAAAACUCAACCUCACCUUAACUUGAUCAUUUACUGGUAGGCUGGGACACUUGGAACCAAAAUCCUAAAGUGAAACAGGAAAUAAAUCGGACCGCACUAAACAAUUUAAUUUUUUUGGUUUUAAAACAGUUUUGGUUUGAAACAGAAAAGCGAUUUGAUUUCAGUAAUGAACAUCUGAAACCGUACCAAAAUCGAAUCGAAUCGCACCGCAAAAAAGAAGAAGCCUAGAUUCCACAUUAAAAAGACUACACACCUUACAUUAGUUAGCAUUCUUCAAGCCGUCAAUCUGUUGCCUAUUUUGGUUAAAAAUUGAAUAUUGGCUGCAAUCUUGCAUCGUACUGAUUUAAAACGCAUAUAAAUGCUUGCUAGCUGCCCUCCGAAGAAA